This 325-nucleotide small nuclear RNA is filed under the name Mus pahari (shrew mouse). Its description in RNAcentral is "sRNA (MGP_PahariEiJ_G0007932.1)". It matches the Rfam family "7SK RNA". From Rfam's summary of the family: 7SK was discovered as an abundant small nuclear RNA in the mid-70s but a possible function has only recently been suggested. Two independent studies have found that 7SK RNA binds the CDK9/cyclin T complex (known as elongation factor P-TEFb). Lineage: Eukaryota; Metazoa; Chordata; Mammalia; Rodentia; Muridae. The record is from RNAcentral.
GCAUCUGAGGGCAGUUUGGCUGCAACUGCAGCCCUAUCCAUCCACAGACCUGAUGCUGUUUAUUUACAUGACUAGGCCAGGGUCCCUUUCUUCUCUCACCACUUCAUGGGCAUCCCUCUUGAAACUGCACACUUGGUGAUAGAGGUUGAUGUUCUCUGAACUAUUUCUUAGUCAAAGAUACAAGAGUAGCUGUAAUCCCAUUCCAGAACCUUCAAACAAGCUCUCGAGAGUAAGAACUGGACUCAACAUGGUGGCACAGACUUCUAAUUCCAGCACUCAGGAGAAGGAGGCAGACAGAUUUCUAGAAUGAGGCUAGCCUUGUCUA